This 1323-nucleotide ribosomal RNA is filed under the name Leuconostoc citreum. RNAcentral describes it as "bacterial SSU rRNA". It matches the Rfam family "Bacterial small subunit ribosomal RNA", at positions 96 to 1407 of the family's 1533-position model. Lineage: Bacteria; Bacillati; Bacillota; Bacilli; Lactobacillales; Lactobacillaceae. The record is from RNAcentral.
UGGCGAACGGGUGAGUAACACGUGGAUAACCUGCCUCAAGGCUGGGGAUAACAUUUGGAAACAGAUGCUAAUACCGAAUAAAACUUAGUAUCGCAUGAUAUAAAGUUAAAAGGCGCUACGGCGUCACCUAGAGAUGGAUCCGCGGUGCAUUAGUUAGUUGGUGGGGUAAAGGCUUACCAAGACAAUGAUGCAUAGCCGAGUUGAGAGACUGAUCGGCCACAUUGGGACUGAGACACGGCCCAAACUCCUACGGGAGGCUGCAGUAGGGAAUCUUCCACAAUGGGCGCAAGCCUGAUGGAGCAACGCCGCGUGUGUGAUGAAGGCUUUCGGGUCGUAAAGCACUGUUGUAUGGGAAGAAAUGCUAAAAUAGGGAAUGAUUUUAGUUUGACGGUACCAUACCAGAAAGGGACGGCUAAAUACGUGCCAGCAGCCGCGGUAAUACGUAUGUCCCGAGCGUUAUCCGGAUUUAUUGGGCGUAAAGCGAGCGCAGACGGUUGAUUAAGUCUGAUGUGAAAGCCCGGAGCUCAACUCCGGAAUGGCAUUGGAAACUGGUUAACUUGAGUGUUGUAGAGGUAAGUGGAACUCCAUGUGUAGCGGUGGAAUGCGUAGAUAUAUGGAAGAACACCAGUGGCGAAGGCGGCUUACUGGACAACAACUGACGUUGAGGCUCGAAAGUGUGGGUAGCAAACAGGAUUAGAUACCCUGGUAGUCCACACCGUAAACGAUGAAUACUAGGUGUUAGGAGGUUUCCGCCUCUUAGUGCCGAAGCUAACGCAUUAAGUAUUCCGCCUGGGGAGUACGACCGCAAGGUUGAAACUCAAAGGAAUUGACGGGGACCCGCACAAGCGGUGGAGCAUGUGGUUUAAUUCGAAGCAACGCGAAGAACCUUACCAGGUCUUGACAUCCUUUGAAGCUUUUAGAGAUAGAAGUGUUCUCUUCGGAGACAAAGUGACAGGUGGUGCAUGGUCGUCGUCAGCUCGUGUCGUGAGAUGUUGGGUUAAGUCCCGCAACGAGCGCAACCCUUAUUGUUAGUUGCCAGCAUUCAGUUGGGCACUCUAGCGAGACUGCCGGUGACAAACCGGAGGAAGGCGGGGACGACGUCAGAUCAUCAUGCCCCUUAUGACCUGGGCUACACACGUGCUACAAUGGCGUAUACAACGAGUUGCCAACCUGCGAAGGUGAGCUAAUCUCUUAAAGUACGUCUCAGUUCGGACUGCAGUCUGCAACUCGACUGCACGAAGUCGGAAUCGCUAGUAAUCGCGGAUCAGCACGCCGCGGUGAAUACGUUCCCGGGUCUUGUACACACCGCCCGUCACACCAUGG